AUCAUGGAGGGAGGAGUUGAUACUCAUAAGCUCAUCAGUCAGAGUUAGGACUUAGGAGUUACCUCACCAGUCAGGAUGGCAACACUCAUGAAGCACAGCAGCCAAGCACUUUUGCUGCUUUCCUUGGCUCUUCUGGCUUGUUCAGUUGUUCCUGCACGCAUGCUAAUAAGCGGUAAUCACCAAAUCAAACCAACUUCUUCUUGUGGAGAAUAGAUAGAGUGCUCAACAAUUUGAUGGCUCGUUGGUUCAUCUGUUCUUCUUUUAUGCAUUCUUAUGGUACGUACCUUAGGAGGACAUGUCUCGUGUAUGAUCUUCAUGCAGGGCAAAGCGUUGGCGUCACGAAUGGCAAGGUGACUAUGGGGGCAAGCAGCAGCACCACCAAGUGUUUCGAAAACCGGAACUCGCCUAAUGGAUCCCCUAUCUUCUGCUGCAAGAUCUUGGAUGUGUGCUUUUCGUCGCCGACAUUUUGCGAGUCGCAUUGCUAGCUAGUGAAGAUUAUUAAGUUGUUGAGGAAAUAUUAGAUACAGUGU
RNAcentral lists this long non-coding RNA (530 nucleotides) under Setaria viridis. Its description in RNAcentral is "long non-coding RNA (SVIR_LNC006332)". Lineage: Eukaryota; Viridiplantae; Streptophyta; Magnoliopsida; Poales; Poaceae. The record is from RNAcentral.